This 254-nucleotide ribosomal RNA is filed under the name uncultured bacterium. RNAcentral's name for it is "partial 16S ribosomal RNA". It matches the Rfam family "Bacterial small subunit ribosomal RNA", at positions 524 to 776 of the family's 1533-position model. The record is from RNAcentral.
UACGUAGGGGGCGAGCGUUGUCCGGAUUCAUUGGGCGUAAAGAGCUCGUAGGCGGCUUGUCAAGUCGGGUGUGAAACCUCCAGGCUCAACCUGGAGACGCCACUCGAGACUGUCAUGGCUAGAGUCCGGUAGGGGAUCACGGAAUUCCUGGUGUAGCGGUGAAAUGCGCAGAUAUCAGGAGGAACACCAAUGGCGAAGGCAGCUCGCUGGGACGGUACUGACGCUGAGACGCGAAAGCGUGGGGAGCAAACAGG